GGCUCGGUGGCGGAACUGGCAUACGCGGAGGCCUCAAAAGUCUCUGCCCUCCGGGGCUUGCGGGUUCGAAUCCCGCCCGAGCUA
RNAcentral lists this transfer RNA (84 nucleotides) under Profundirhabdus halotolerans. Its description in RNAcentral is "tRNA-Leu". It matches the Rfam family "tRNA". Rfam says of the family: Transfer RNA (tRNA) molecules are approximately 80 nucleotides in length. Their secondary structure includes four short double-helical elements and three loops (D, anti-codon, and T loops). Further hydrogen bonds mediate the characteristic L-shaped molecular structure. tRNAs have two regions of fundamental functional importance: the anti-codon, which is responsible for specific mRNA codon recognition, and the 3' end, to which the tRNAs corresponding amino acid is attached (by aminoacyl-tRNA synthetases). tRNAs cope with the degeneracy of the genetic code in two manners: having more than one tRNA (with a specific anti-codon) for a particular amino acid; and 'wobble' base-pairing, i.e. permitting non-standard base-pairing at the 3rd anti-codon position. Lineage: Bacteria; Bacillati; Actinomycetota; Nitriliruptoria; Nitriliruptorales; Nitriliruptoraceae. The record is from RNAcentral.